Toxotes jaculatrix (banded archerfish) is the source of this 294-nucleotide long non-coding RNA. RefSeq lists it as uncharacterized. The record is from RefSeq and is a predicted model, not a curated record. The transcript has 3 exons. Lineage: Eukaryota; Metazoa; Chordata; Actinopteri; Toxotidae.
GCAUUCCCUCAUCCUGACCUGAACCCCAAACAGACGAGACAAGACGUCCUCACAACAAUGGUUUAGAACCAAAACUUGUCCACAGAAAGAUGUAUUCAUCAAGCAGCUGAUCACCAAUCAGAGACAAGCAGGCAGGUGAUGCUGUGAUGAUGUCACACAGGUGCUGCAGAGCCCUCUUGUCAUCCUCCAGCUGUCGCUUCUUGUUCUCGAUCUCCGUCUGCCACUUCCUCUUCUCCUGAGGCAUGAUGGGAAGUGUAGUCAGGUGCACAGAAACAGUUUCAUCGCCUCCACUCU